Molecule: ribosomal RNA, 380 nt
Filed under: uncultured cyanobacterium
Lineage: Bacteria; Bacillati; Cyanobacteriota
Description: bacterial SSU rRNA
Rfam family: Bacterial small subunit ribosomal RNA
Source: RNAcentral
CGAAAGCCUGACGGAGCAAUACCGCGUGAGGGAAGAAGGCUCUUGGGUUGUAAACCUCUUUUCUCAGGGAAGAAAAAAAUGACGGUACCUGAGGAAUAAGCAUCGGCUAACUCCGUGCCAGCAGCCGCGGUAAUACGGAGGAUGCAAGCGUUAUCCGGAAUGAUUGGGCGUAAAGGGUCCGCAGGUGGCUAUGUAAGUCUGCUGUUAAAGAACUUAGCUUAACUAGGUAAAAGCAGUGGAAACUACAAGGCUAGAGUGCGUUCGGGGUAGAGGGAAUUCCUGGUGUAGCGGUGAAAUGCGUAGAUAUCAGGAAGAACACCAGUGGCGAAGGCGCUCUACUAGGCCGCAACUGACACUGAGGGACGAAAGCUAGGGGAGCG